This 63-nucleotide transfer RNA is filed under the name Dermacentor silvarum. RNAcentral's name for it is "tRNA-Cys". Lineage: Eukaryota; Metazoa; Arthropoda; Arachnida; Ixodida; Ixodidae. The record is from RNAcentral. RNAcentral also lists the same sequence under 1 other name.
AGUCUUAAUAAAAAUUUAAAUUGCAAAUUUAAAAAAGAUGAAAUUAUUAAACAUCUAAGAUUU